AAAUCCCCAAGCCAAAUAACUCGUCUACAUCAAUAUAUACCAAAUUAGAAUAUAAAAAGAGAACAAAGUUAUGUAAUAGUAAAGAUAAACACAGUUAUCCAUGUAAAUGGUGUUUAGAAUUACAGAUGUUGGUAAACAAACCUUACAAGGGACAGUAAAAAGCACGACUUUGUCACUUCAAAUGCAUUGGAAACUAAAAUAAAUUAAUUCAAUUUUCAUGUAAGGGAGAAUAUUUCCUUCCCAUGUUCUUUAGAUCCCCACAAUCUUCUCAUUUAUUUAAACCCUUUUGCAACUUUUGCUGGUUGCAAGUAACAAGAGUACAGCUUGCUUAAU
RNAcentral lists this unclassified non-coding RNA (333 nucleotides) under Hevea brasiliensis (rubber tree). Lineage: Eukaryota; Viridiplantae; Streptophyta; Magnoliopsida; Malpighiales; Euphorbiaceae. The record is from RNAcentral.